Molecule: long non-coding RNA, 431 nt
Organism: Mizuhopecten yessoensis (Yesso scallop)
Lineage: Eukaryota; Metazoa; Mollusca; Bivalvia; Pectinida; Pectinidae
Exons: 2
Source: RefSeq, a predicted model, not a curated record
AAUGAUUUAAUUUCAUAAAAAAUAUCAAUAUGCAUAAAAGUUAACAAAACAAUCACUACAACAAAGUUAUCAACAAGUAUGCUGUCAUUACAUAUAUCUACAUACAUGUACAUAUAUUUGAUGGAACAAUUUAAAACAUUUUUUUUUUAAACAAAGCAAUGCAAAGGAAUACUGAAUAAAAUAUAAUCAUCAUGAAAUAUCAUGACUCAAGACCAGUUUUUAAGAAACUGAUGCCUGUUUUGGACACCUGUGACCUUGAAAGAAGGUCAAGGUAAUCUACAUGAUGAAACUUUAAAGUAUUUAUCCCAGACAGACUUAUGACAGACACUUCACUAUACCAUAAGAUUAUGACAGUUUGUACCAGAGGAGCUUAAAAGUGUAUCUGAAGUUCAUGAACCAUGAUAUUUGUCUUUCCUUCAUUCUGACUGUAU